GUGGCUCAGUGGUAGGGCAUCUGUUUGGCGUACAGAAGGUCUUGGGUUCAAACCCCGGCAUCUCCA
This 66-nucleotide transfer RNA is filed under the name Sphaerodactylus townsendi. RNAcentral describes it as "tRNA-Ala". It matches the Rfam family "tRNA". Rfam says of the family: Transfer RNA (tRNA) molecules are approximately 80 nucleotides in length. Their secondary structure includes four short double-helical elements and three loops (D, anti-codon, and T loops). Lineage: Eukaryota; Metazoa; Chordata; Lepidosauria; Squamata; Sphaerodactylidae. The record is from RNAcentral.